RNAcentral lists this ribosomal RNA (498 nucleotides) under uncultured bacterium. RNAcentral's name for it is "partial 16S ribosomal RNA". It matches the Rfam family "Bacterial small subunit ribosomal RNA", at positions 29 to 523 of the family's 1533-position model. The record is from RNAcentral.
AUUGAACGCUGGCGGCAUGCUUUACACAUGCAAGUCGAACGGUAACAGGCCUUCGGGCGCUGACGAGUGGCGAACGGGUGAGUAAUGUAUCGGAACGUGCCCAGUAGGGGGGGAUAGCUCGGCGAAAGCCGGAUUAAUACCGCAUACGCACUGAGGUGGAGAGUGGGGGACCGCAAGGCCUCACGCCAUUGGAGCGGCCGAUAUCUGAUUAGCUAGUUGGUGGGGUAAAGGCCGACCAAGGCGACGAUCAGUAACUGGUCUGAGAGGACGACCAGUCACACUGGGACGCGGACACGGCCCAGACUCCUAGGGGAGGCAGCAGUGGGGAAUUUUGGAGAAUGGGCGCAAGCCUGAUUCAGCAAUGCCGCGUGUGUGAAGGAGGCCUUCGGGUUGUAAGGCACUCUUGUCCGGAAAGAAAUCGCUCUGGCGAAUAACUGGAGUGGAUGACGGUACCGGAAGAAUAAGCACCGGCUAACUACGUGCCAGCAGCCGCCGUAA